This 240-nucleotide unclassified non-coding RNA is filed under the name soil metagenome. RNAcentral describes it as "partial contains 5.8S ribosomal RNA, internal transcribed spacer 2, and large subunit ribosomal RNA". The record is from RNAcentral.
AACCUAGCACACCUGCGGUGUGUACCUGCGGAAGGAUCAUUACCGAGUGCGGGUCCCCUCGCGGGGCCCAACCUCCCACCCGUGUCUACCGUCACCUGUUGCUUCGGCGGGCCCGCCUUCGUGCCGCCGGGGGGCCCUCUGCGCCCCCGGGCCCGCGCCCGCCGAAGACUCUAGGAACACUGAAUGAAGGAUGCCGUCUGAGUCAAACGACACAAUCGUUAAAACUUUUAACAACGGAUC